Molecule: ribosomal RNA, 956 nt
Filed under: Escherichia coli
Lineage: Bacteria; Pseudomonadati; Pseudomonadota; Gammaproteobacteria; Enterobacterales; Enterobacteriaceae
Description: partial 23S ribosomal RNA
Rfam family: Bacterial large subunit ribosomal RNA
Source: RNAcentral
GGAAAGGCGCGCGAUACAGGGUGACAGCCCCGUACACAAAAAUGCACAUGCUGUGAGCUCGAUGAGUAGGGCGGGACACGUGGUAUCCUGUCUGAAUAUGGGGGGACCAUCCUCCAAGGCUAAAUACUCCUGACUGACCGAUAGUGAACCAGUACCGUGAGGGAAAGGCGAAAAGAACCCCGGCGAGGGGAGUGAAAAAGAACCUGAAACCGUGUACGUACAAGCAGUGGGAGCACGCUUAGGCGUGUGACUGCGUACCUUUUGUAUAAUGGGUCAGCGACUUAUAUUCUGUAGCAAGGUUAACCGAAUAGGGGAGCCGAAGGGAAACCGAGUCUUAACUGGGCGUUAAGUUGCAGGGUAUAGACCCGAAACCCGGUGAUCUAGCCAUGGGCAGGUUGAAGGUUGGGUAACACUAACUGGAGGACCGAACCGACUAAUGUUGAAAAAUUAGCGGAUGACUUGUGGCUGGGGGUGAAAGGCCAAUCAAACCGGGAGAUAGCUGGUUCUCCCCGAAAGCUAUUUAGGUAGCGCCUCGUGAAUUCAUCUCCGGGGGUAGAGCACUGUUUCGGCAAGGGGGUCAUCCCGACUUACCAACCCGAUGCAAACUGCGAAUACCGGAGAAUGUUAUCACGGGAGACACACGGCGGGUGCUAACGUCCGUCGUGAAGAGGGAAACAACCCAGACCGCCAGCUAAGGUCCCAAAGUCAUGGUUAAGUGGGAAACGAUGUGGGAAGGCCCAGACAGCCAGGAUGUUGGCUUAGAAGCAGCCAUCAUUUAAAGAAAGCGUAAUAGCUCACUGGUCGAGUCGGCCUGCGCGGAAGAUGUAACGGGGCUAAACCAUGCACCGAAGCUGCGGCAGCGACGCUGAUGCGUUGUUGGGUAGGGGAGCGUUCUGUAAGCCUGCGAAGGUGUGCUGUGAGGCAUGCUGGAGGUAUCAGAAGUGCGAAUGCUGACA